This 253-nucleotide ribosomal RNA is filed under the name uncultured bacterium. RNAcentral's name for it is "partial 16S ribosomal RNA". It matches the Rfam family "Bacterial small subunit ribosomal RNA", at positions 524 to 776 of the family's 1533-position model. The record is from RNAcentral.
UACGGAGGGUGCAAGCGUUAUCCGGAUUUACUGGGUUUAAAGGGUGCGUAGGUGGGUUGGUAAGUCAGUGGUGAAAUCUUCGAGCUUAACUCAGAAACUGCCAUUGAUACUAUCAAUCUUGAAUUAUCUGGAGGUAAGCGGAAUAUGUCAUGUAGCGGUGAAAUGCUUAGAUAUGACAUAGAACACCCAUUGCGAAGGCAGCUUACUACGGAUACAUUGACACUGAGGCACGAAAGCGUGGGGAUCAAACAGG